UACGUAGGGUGCAAGCGUUGUCCGGAAUUAUUGGGCGUAAAGAGCUCGUAGGCGGUCUGUCGCGUCUGCUGUGAAAACUCGGGGCUUAACCCCGGGCCUGCAGUGGGUACGGGCAGACUAGAGUGCGGUAGGGGAGACUGGAAUUCCUGGUGUAGCGGUGAAAUGCGCAGACUAUCAGGAGGGAACACCGGUGGCGAAGGCGGGUCUCUGGGCCGUAACUGACGCUGGAGGAGCGAAAGCCAUGGGGAGCGAACAGG
Molecule: ribosomal RNA, 257 nt
Filed under: uncultured bacterium
Lineage: Bacteria
Description: partial 16S ribosomal RNA
Rfam family: Bacterial small subunit ribosomal RNA
Source: RNAcentral